Molecule: ribosomal RNA, 943 nt
Filed under: Corixidae sp. CW-2009
Lineage: Eukaryota; Metazoa; Arthropoda; Insecta; Hemiptera; Corixidae
Description: SSU rRNA
Rfam family: Eukaryotic small subunit ribosomal RNA
Source: RNAcentral
GCAGCAGGCACGCAAAUUACCCACUCCCGGCACGGGGAGGUAGUGACAAAAAAUAACGAUACGGGACUCAUCCGAGGCCCCGUAAUCGGAAUGAGUACACUCUAAAUCCUUUAACAAGGAUCCAUUGGAGGGCAAGUCUGGUGCCAGCAGCCGCGGUAAUUCCAGCUCCAAUAGCGUAUAUUAAAGUUGUUGCGGUUAAAAAGCUCGUAGUUGGUUCUGUGUGCCACGCUGUCGGUUCACCGCCUGCCGGUGUAACUGGCAUGCCGUGGGAUGUCCUGUCGGUGGCGGCCGAGGCCCUCGGCGCAGUGUAGGUCUAACCGAAGCUCGCCGCUGUGCGCCCAGUCGCCGAUUCAAUCCUGCCGCGGUGCUCUUCACUGAGUGUCGAGGUAGGCCGACACGUUUACUUUGAACAAAUUAGAGUGCUCAAAGCAGGCUGAAUUCCGCCUGAAUACUGGUGCAUGGAAUAAUGGAAUAGGACCUCGGUUCUAUUUUGUUGGUUUUCGGAAUCCGAGGUAAUGAUCAAUAUGGACAGGCGGGGGCAUUCGUAUUGCGACGUAGAGGUGAAAUUCUUGGAUCGUCGCAAGACGGACUAGAGCGAAAGCAUUUGCCAAGUAUGUCUUAGUUGAUCAAGAACGAAAGUUAGAGGUUCGAAGGCGAUCAGAUACCGCCCUAGUUCUAACCAUAAACGAUGCCAGCCAGCGAUCCGCCGAAGUUCCUCCGAUGACUCGGCGGGCAGCUUCCGGGAAACCAAAGCUUUUGGGUUCCGGGGGAAGUAUGGUUGCAAAGCUGAAACUUAAAGGAAUUGACGGAAGGGCACCACCAGGAGUGGAGCCUGCGGCUUAAUUUGACUCAACACGGGAAACCUCACCAGGCCCGGACAUUGGAAGGAUUGACAGAUUGAUAGCUCUUUCUUGAUUCAGUGGGUAGUGGUGCAUGGCCGUUC